GACCGACGUGACCAGUUUUGCGCAGUGCGCGGGUUCCCGGGCGUCCGCCUUGGUCACACGGGCUCCGGCCCGGGGGGCACCGGCGUCACCCCCGCAGCUUGGUGGUCUCCUGCUCUCGUCCCUGGCUGCAGGGACACAGGUGGGCUGCAGGGACAGGUGUGCCCACGGAACUCCAGUGUCUCAGAAAGAAAAACUUUCAGUGCGGUGAGACGGCGGUAUAAUAUUCUGACCAUGCUAUCUCAUUUUAAUCUGGCUUUCUAGUCUAACAGCUAUGUUUUUUGAGAAAAAGCAGCUUUUUCUUCAGUGGUCAAAACGGAGCUGUAAAACCAUAUGCCCCAAGGGGUCUUGACCAAAGACCAUCUGCACCCUCCAAAACACGCGUACUGACGAAGAGCGUCCCAAAGCUGAAACACUUGGCACGACUGGGAUUUCUAGCUAGGGCCUGAGCACAAUCCUUUCUUGUCCUAAAGGACUCCAUCUUAGGUUUCUAAGUGUGAGUUUCUGUCAUACAAUGCCGCUUUUUCUUGUACUCCGCUAGAGGAAGUGCUUGCGGUUAUUCAUGGCCGAUGGUAAAUAGAGGAUUCAAGACCAAGCAGGCGUUAGACAGAAGUUCAAAACAUGUGGCCUAAUUACUAUCCAGUUCUCCAGUAAAGCCCCCUUCACCCUCUCACGGGUGAUGAAGGAUCUGGCUCCAGGGUAAACUCUUUAAAAUUUGUAAAUAAAUAUUGAAUCCUCAGAUGAGGAUAAACAGAAACUACACGGCAGUAAGUUCAACUUAGCUGUUGGUAAUAGGAAAGCUGAGGCCCAGACUGACACAGGCAUCAAGCCUUCACAAACCCGCUCUCUGGGAAAACCAUUGACACUGAGUCCAUCCAACUUAUAGUGAUUCUGUAGGACAGAGUUUAUAGGACAGAGUAGAAAUGCCUCAUAGGUGUUUCAAGGAACAGUUCGUGGAUUUUAACUACCAACCUUUUGUUAACAGUUGAGCUCUUAGCCACUUUGCUACUCAGGCUCACACUUUUCUGGGCAGACUUAUGUUAACCAUAAAUUUGUUCAAAAUUCUACUUUGUAUAAGUUUAACUUCACCAAAGGGUAAGUUAGUCUUGCCCUUGUCUCCUGAGAAGGCAAAUUCUAAACCUUUGGAAUUUCCUGAGCAGCUGAGGUGCUUUGGAAACCCUGGUGGUGUAGUGGUUAAGUGCUACAGGUGCACACCAAAAGGUCGGCAGUUCAGAUCCACGAGGCGCUCCUUGGAAACUCUAUGGAGCAGUUCUAGUCUGUCCUGUGGGGUCGCUAUGAGUUAGAAUUGACUCCAUGGCAAUGGGUUUUGUUUCUUUUGGUUUUGAGGUGCUUUUGUUAUUUUAAAAGCUAAGGGGUACAUCUGAGAAUGUAUGCAAGUGAAUAAGUUCCCUCCCUCCCACUUCCCCACCACCUCAUCCCACCACUCCCACUCUGCCAGGCCAGAGGCCACCUAGAUCUCGGAAAGGGUGCAUGGGUCAGUCAAUCACAUAAAAUAAAGUGAAUGAUUAAUUUUCUACUCUGUUUCUUCUUUCUUGAAAACUUCAUUGUUACUAUCUUUUUUUGCAGUGAGACUUUUGUUUUUGUAGAAACAAAAUGGUCUCCCAGUAUGCGUAUAGAUUAACUGCUUAAAUCAAUCCUGUAUACUUUAUUUUCUUUGUGCUUUGAUUAUUUUUUAACAUAACAGUGAGCUUUCCGGAACCUGACUUUAACUUUAUUCCUAGGGGAUUUGACUUCUGGAUAUAUGUUUGUAAUUGUGUUGUUGUAGAAUAACCAUCCAUAACUCUGAUUAAUGUAAAAUUGAGAGAUUUAUUGAAAGUAAAAAGAUAGCUUGAACUAGAAAAGAACUAGAGAUAGACUGAAUUCCAUGUGAUGGAACCCAAUAAUCCAGUGUGGUGACUCAGCAGUGACAUUUUAUGAAGGGGAAACAAAGAACAUGAAGUACAGUAUUUGGUAUUUGCAGACUUAGAUCAUUGAAAGACAUUACUUGAUUGCACGGAAGCCCUGGUGGUGUAGCGGUUAAAAGCUACGGCUGCUAACCAGAAGGUCAACAAUUUGAAUCCACCAGGUGCUCCUUGGAAACUCUGUUGGGCAGUUCUACUCUGUUCUACGGGGUCACUAUGAGUCAUAAUCGGCUUGACGGCACUGGGUUUGGUUUUUAAUUACAGGCUUAGAUCAUUGGAGGACAUUACACACUUGGUAGUAGAUCACUUUAAGGUGGGUCUUCCUGUGGUGGGAACUCAUAAGGCAGGUCUUCCUGUGGGGGGAAAUCCUAGGACAGGACUUCCUGUAGCAGUCCUUCAUAAGGUGAUUGGCUUAAAAGGAUAUAUGUGUCUUUCUUAGAUUGGUUAUAAUGUGUUAAUCAGAAGGGUAUGUGUGGUGGGGGGAUGGCAGGGUACUUAUGUCAUCAUUACCAGACAGUCCUCUCUCAGGGGAGGUGCAGUGUAGUCACAUCAUCGUUGCCAGACACUGCUUAGUCUCAUGAUUAUGUAUGCACAGAAAAUGGCUGUUGCUAGGAUGGAAACGGAACUAGCCACAGAGGAGUCUCACUCAGUCCUCAAGUUGGCCACCUCAGAUCUUCUCAGGUGCCGUCAAGUCCGUUUCAACUCAUAGAGACUCCAUGUGACAAGAGUAGAACUGCCUUAUUGGGUUUUUUUGGCUGUCAUCAUGGAAGCAGAUCACAAGGUCUUGCUCCCACCACUGAUUACCAUCGGGCAUACAGUGGAUUUAUGAAUAUCUGGAAGAAAAAUCAGGUGUUACCAAACCAAGUCACUAAAGGGACCCCUAAGUCACUAAAUUCUGCAAUAUAUUGGUGGGCACAAAUAUGGAUCUCUUCCAGUCAGUUGGCCAAAUAGCUGUCUUCCAAAUUUCUUGGCAAAGACAAGUCAGUACCUCCAGCGCUGCAUCCAUUUGUUGAAACAUCUCAGUUGGUAUUCCGUCAAUUCCUGGAGCCUCGUUUUCACCAAUGCCUUCAGUGCAGCUUGGACUGCUUCCUUCAAUACCAUUGAUUCUCGAUCGUAUGCUGCCUCCUGAAAUGGUUGAACAUCGACCAAUUCUUUUUGGUACAGUGUCUCUGCAUCCCUUCCAUCUUCUUUUGAUGCUCCUUGAAUCAUUUAAUAUUUUGCCCAUAGAAUACUUCAAAAUAGCAACUCAAAGCUUGAAUUUUUUCUUUAGUUCUUUCAGCUUGAGAAAUAACUGAGUGUAUUCUUCCCUUUUGGUUUUCUAACUCCAGGUCUCUGUACCUGUCAUUAUAAUACUUUACUAUGUUUUCUCAAGCUGUCUUUUGAAACCUUCUGUUCAGCUCUUUUAUUUCAUCAUUUCUUCAAUUUGCUUUGGCUACUCAACGUUCAAGAGCAAGUUUCAGAGUCUCUUCUGACAUCAGUUUUGGUCUUUUCUUUCUUUCCCAUCUUUUUAAUGACCUUUUGCUUUUUUUUUAUGUAUGAUGUUCUUGAUGUCGAAGAAUGUUGAAUAUACCAUGGACUGCCAAAGAAUGAACAAGUCUGUCUUGGAAGAAGUACAGCCAGAAUGCUCCUUAAAAGCAAGGAUGGUAAGACUUCCUCCUGCAUACUUUGGACACGUUAUCAGAAAGGACCAGUCCCUGGAGAAGGACAUCAUGCUUGGUAAGGUAGAGGGUCAUCGAAAAAGAGGAAGACCCUCAAUGAGAUGGAUUGACACAGUGGCUGCAACAAUGGGCUCAAACAUAGCAACCAUUGUGAGGAUGGUGCAGGACCAGGCAGUGUUUCAUUCUGUUGUACAUAGGGUCGCUAUGAGUCAGAACCAACUCGAUGGCCCCUAAUAACAUAAUAUAAUAAGACACGUGAAGUUAGUUAUGUUAUUACGUUUAAAUUAAUUACAAUGAAAUAAAAUUAAGAAUUCAGUUCCUAAACUGCUUUAGUCACAUCUCAACUGCUCAACAGUAAUGUGUAGUUAGUAAAUCCAACAUAAGCAGUGCAGAAAUCUGACAUUUUCCUUUUCAUCACUAGAGAAGUUCCUGUUGCACAAUGCUGGUAGGUGAAGUCUUCUGUUCUCAUGAUACCAUUUCAAACUGUUCCAUCCAUUUCCAAACACACUGUUCUUUAUUCCGUAACAUACAAAUUGGGUAAUCCUUUAUACUUAUCAUAUUAAUUGAAUAUUGUGAGCAUGUUCAUAUUUAUUCCUUUAUUCCUUCCUUUAACUUAUAGUUGUUUCUUGUCGACUGUGUCUCAGGCACUGAAUUAGUUUUUCUCUUUGUAUUAGUGAAUAAAAGGUUUUAGAUAUGCUUAUAGUCUAAUAAGGAGGGGUAAAGGGUUUAACAAAAAGAUAUGCAAAUGAUAUUAUGCUUCUAAUUGGAAUAGGGAGUGUGUGUAUGGAAUUUAAAUUUUGAGGUGUUGGUACAUCUCAAGGGAGGUUGCAGAACUAAAAUUAGGCACACCGUUCUGAGGUUAACUGAAAAUUUCUCUUCUGCUCUCCUGAUAAACAUUUGGCUUCUGUUAAGGUUUUACUAUCUGGGGGGAAAAAACCGCUCAGUGCCUAAUAUGUUAACGAUGUUUCCACAGAGAAGGCUCUCGUUAAGAUGUUAAAUAAGUUAGAGCAUAGAUAAACUUGUUCUUUUAACUACCUCCAAGGAAUUUCCCAAACAAGCACCUGGGGUUUACCUCCUUUUCCCUUAGCUGAAUAAGGCAAAUGUAUACUUGAAAAGACAUAGACUUAAAACUGAUCUAAUCUUAUUCUUUCCUAACUAAUGGUUGGUUUUGUAUCCAAAGACUACAAUUAAGUGGACCCAGGCUGCAAUUCAUCACUAUACCUUCAUAUGUCAAAAUGUUUAAAACAUUUCAUUUUAGAAAUCUUGCCUUAGUUAAAUUGUAUUAAGAAUGAGAGAUUUGAAUUAGGCUAGAAAUUGAUGUUAAGAAAGUUGUAGCUAAUUGCCAUUUGUAAAUUCCUUGGUUUUCCUCUGAAUCUGUUUGAUGUACUCUAGUUACACUGCCUGCUGAAAUACCUCUUUCUUCUGCCUGCAAAGCAGAACAUACUUUGGCAAUUGACUUGAAUACCUCGUAUUUCUCCCAUAGAAUUAUUCCUUCAAUAAAAUUCGAUGGGAAACACCUAUGCUCGUCCAAAGACUUCACCAAAAGAGUAAAAAGAUUACCUACAGACGGGGAAAAAGUUUUUAGCUAUGACAUUUCCAAUCAGCGCCUGAUCUAUCUACACGAAACUGUAAAAACUCAACUACAAAAAGACAAAUAACGCAAUUAAAAAUGGGCAAAAGAUAUGAACAGACACUUCACUAAAGAAGACAUUCAGGUAGCUAACAGAUACAUGAGGAAAUGCUCACGAUUAUUAGCCAUUAGAGAAAUGCAAAUCAAAACUACAAUGAGCUUCUAUCUCACUCCAACAAUGCUGGCACUAAUCCAAAAACACAAAAUAAUAAAUAUUGGACAGGCUGUGGCGAGAUUGGAACAUUCAUACACUGCUGGCAGGAAUGUAAAAUGGUACAACCGCUUAGAAAAUUGAUUUAACACUUCCUUAAAAAGCUAGAAAUAGAACUACCAUACCAAAAACCAAAACCAGUGCUGUUGAGUCGAUUCUGACUCAUAGCGACCCUAUAGGACAGAGUGGAACUGCCCCAUAGAGUUUCCACGGAGCACCUGCCAGAUUCCAACUCCUGACCCUUUGGUUAGCAGCCAUAGCACUUAACCACUGUGCCACCAGGGUUUCCAGAACUACCAUAAGAUCCAGCAGUCCCACUCCUUGGAAUAUAUCCUAGAGAAAUAAGAGCCUUUACAUGAACAGAUAAUGUGCACCCAUGUUCAUUGCAGCACUGUUUACAAUAGCAAAAAGAUGAAUAGAUAAAUAAAAAUAGAUGAACAGAUAAAUAAAUUAUGGUAUAUUCACACGAUGGAAUACUACGCAUCGGUAAAGAACAGUGAGGAAUCUGUGAAACAUUUCAUAACAUGGAGGAACCUGGAAGGCAUUAUGCUGAGUGAAAUCAGCCAGUUGCAAAAGGACAAAUAUUGCAUAAGACCACUAUUAUAAGAACUUGAGAAAUAGUUUAAACUGAGAAGAAAACAUUCUUUUGUGGUUACAAGAAGGGGGAGAGGGGUGGGAGAGGGGCAUUCACUAAUUAGAUAGUAGAUAAGAACUACUUUAGUUGAAGGGAAAGACAACACAAUACAGGGGAGGUCAGCACAAUUGGACUAAACCAAAAGCAAAGAAGUUUCCUGAAUAAACUGAAUGCUUGGAAGGCCAGCGUAGCAGGGGCAGGGGUCUGGGGGCCAUGGUUUCAGGGGACAUCUAAGUCAAUUGGCAUAAUAAAGUCUAUUAAGAAAACAUUCUGCAUCCCACUUUGAAGUGUGGCGUCUGGAGUCUUAAACGCUAGGAAGCAGCCAUCUAAGAUGCAUCCAUUGGUCUCAACCCACCUGGAGCAAAGGAGAAUGAAGAACACCAAGGACACAAGGUAAAUUACGAGCCCAAGAGACAGAAAGGGCCACAUGAACCAGAGACUACAUAUCCUGAGACCAGAAGAAUGAGAUGGUGCCUGGCUACAACUGAUGACUGCCGUAACAGGGAACACAACAGAGAACCCCUGAGGGAGCAGGAGAGCAGUGGGAUGCAGACCCAAAAUUCUCAUAAGACCAGACUUAAUGGCCUGGCUGAGACUAGAAGGACCCCGGUGGUCAUGGCCCCCAGACCUUCUGUUGGCCCAGGACAGGAACCAUUCCCAAAGCCAACUCUUCAGACAUGGAUUGGACUGGGCAAUGGGCUGGAGGGGGAUGCUGGUGAGGAGUGAGCUUCUUGGAUCAGGUGGACACUUGAGACUAUGUUGGCAUCUCCUGCCUGGAGGGGAGAUGAGAGGGUAGAUGGGGUUAGAAGCUGGUGAAAUGUACACGAAAAGAGAGUGGAGGGAGGGAGUGUGCUGUCUCAUUAGGGGGAGAGCAAUUGGGAUAUAUAAGUUUCUGUGUGAGAGACUGACCUGAUUUGUAAACUUUCACUUAAAGCACAAUAAAAAUUAAAAAAAAAAAAAAAUUCAAUUGGAAUGUUGGUCCAGUAACUCUACUCGGACAUGUAUUGUUGACCGUGAAGGCACCUGAAGGAUUUUACCUAUGCAGCAUCUGGGGCAGCGAGAAAAUCAGAGCUUCUGGAACCAGCAAGACCUCUCGGGCCUGUCUGGUUUUUGAGGGAUCCUGGGAGUUGUGGCAGAUAAACACCUCUUGGGUCCAAGCCCCUACUUACUUUGUGUAGAGGUUCCCCAACUUUUGUUGAAGGAUUUGUCUUUCUGUCUUCUGUCUUUUGAAUGGAGCACAAGUUUCUUUGUUUUGCAUACCAUAUGGUCAUUGCUUAAGGACCUCAGUACCACAAAAAGCUACAUUUUUCAACUCUUUGGCAGUCUGUUGCUAAAGAAAUUAGUUGGUUCUGAGAAGCUGAGACCUCUGAGCUUUUGUUUGAAAAGUUCCGAAGCUAACCUGUACUGCCUCUGGAAAUUCGAGAAAUGCUAAGUCUAAGAGCAAGGCUGAGUUUCCUCUGAAAACUCCUGCUCAUUAUGUGAACAAGCAUUUUGGUUCUUCCUCUUAUUUUUGCCUGUUUGGCAUGAUUUGAUGAAAGGCAGUUUGCAUGAAUGGUCUAUCCAAUGGGACAUUUUUUAUGAUUGGUGAUUUGAAGCUUCUAAACUGACUGAACAUAAUAAAGAAUUGCAGAAUUCAGUUUCUGAAUUAACUAAUAAUAAAGAAUUUAAAAGCCAGAGCUCUGCUGUAUUUACACCCUUCACUGCAGCUUCCUCUGCUACCCUUCCCCCACCACUACCGGCAGCCUCUUCUCUAUAUCCUCUUCUCCCUCUUAAUCCUUCUGAAAAUUCUCUGCCUGCACUUGCUUUCUUUUCAAGAAAAUCUACUAAAGGAGAUCCUAUUUAUGAAACUUCUAAACCAGAGAAUGCAGCACCAAAAAGCCCAAAGCUAGUUAGACCAAAGUCAGAAAGUACAGAGCCUAUUACUGAAAUGCCUUUUAAAUUUACCCUGCAGAAUGUGGAGUAGGCACUAGAGAAAGUCCAAAGAGUCCUGUUAUUUUUUUCCCUGGACCUGUACGGAACUACAUAAUAUCAGCAAAGAUUUCCCAAAUUUAUGUGAGGAGCCUCAUAAAUUUGCUAAAGAAUUCAAGGUCCUUAUUCAUGCUUACCAGAUUGGAUUAGCUGGUCUGUAUCAAUUCAUACGUUAGUUGACCCUGGUAAAGCAAAAUUAUAGUUAGAAUGUGCUGAAUGGAAAGAUCCCCCAAAUGAUUUAGCUUUAGAUACAGGCAAAACAGCCAAUGUCCUCAAAGCAGCUAAACACAAAGCCAAAGAGUUGCAUGAUGCAAUCCUUGAGGCCUUUCUCUCAAAAAUCAACUGGACAAAAGUUCACUCUUGCAUACAACACAAAAAUGAAAAUGUUUAUGAUUACCAAUUCUCAUUAUUCCAAAAGUUUUUGGAAUAUUGUGGGUUGAAUCAUCAGAUGAGGAAAUGAAAGAGGCUUUUAAUGCAGUAUUUAUUUCUGGUCUCAAGCCUAAAAUUUCAGCAUUAGUUAAGAGGUAUUGUUUAGACUGGAAAUUAACUUCCAUUGAGGAAUUAACUAUCUUAGCUCAUUAGCUUGCCCAAAUUUUAGAAACAAAGUAGGGUGCUCAAACUAGCAAAUAAGUUAAUGAUCCUUCAGUUACAACAGUUACAUGGGCCUAUU
This is a long non-coding RNA of Loxodonta africana (African savanna elephant), 8690 nucleotides long. RefSeq lists it as uncharacterized. Lineage: Eukaryota; Metazoa; Chordata; Mammalia; Proboscidea; Elephantidae. The transcript is spliced from 3 exons. The record is from RefSeq and is a predicted model, not a curated record.